GACGAACGCUGGCGGCGUGCUUAACACAUGCAAGUCGAACGGAAAGGCGCUGCUCUUGUGGGGUGCUCGGGAGGCGAGCGGGAGGGUAACGCGAGAGUAACCUGCCCUUCACUCUGGGACAACUUCACGAAACUAGGGCUAAUACCGGACAGGAGCUCCUGGUGCUGUGGGAGGGUUGGACAGGUACGGCGGUUGGGUCUGGGCUUGCGGCGUGUGCGCCUGUUGGUGGGGUUGUGGCGUACCAAGGCUUUGACGGGUGGCCGGCCUGACAGGGUGUGCGGCCACAUUGGGACUGAGAUGCGGCGCAGACUCCUACGGGAUGCAGCAGUGGGGAAUAUUGCACUGUGGGCGGGAGCCGGAUGCAGCGACGGCGCGCGCGUGGUGAAGGCCUUCGGGUUGUGAACCGCGUUCGCCUGGGACGUGGCGGGGGUGACGGUAGUGGGUUAAGAAGCGCCGGCUAACUACGUG
RNAcentral lists this ribosomal RNA (468 nucleotides) under uncultured bacterium. RNAcentral's name for it is "partial 16S ribosomal RNA". It matches the Rfam family "Bacterial small subunit ribosomal RNA", at positions 28 to 507 of the family's 1533-position model. The record is from RNAcentral.